RNAcentral lists this ribosomal RNA (253 nucleotides) under uncultured bacterium. RNAcentral describes it as "partial 16S ribosomal RNA". It matches the Rfam family "Bacterial small subunit ribosomal RNA", at positions 524 to 776 of the family's 1533-position model. The record is from RNAcentral. RNAcentral also lists the same sequence under 1 other name.
UACGUAGGGUGCAAGCGUUGUCCGGAAUUAUUGGGCGUAAAGAGCUCGUAGGCGGUUUGUCGCGUCUGCUGUGAAAACGCGAGGCUCAACCUCGCGCCUGCAGUGGGUACGGGCAGACUAGAGUGUGGUAGGGGAGAUUGGAAUUCCUGGUGUAGCGGUGGAAUGCGCAGAUAUCAGGAGGAACACCGAUGGCGAAGGCAGAUCUCUGGGCCAUUACUGACGCUGAGGAGCGAAAGCGUGGGGAGCGAACAGG